AAUUCGAAGUCAGUCAGGAAGUCAUGUUAACUAUUGCAUGAAAAUGGAAAGAAAGGGGAAAGGAAAAUCCGUAGUGUGGAAAGAGUAGGACCUAGGAGCAAAGCAAGAACUGCAAAGCUACACAUUUUCUCUCUUUUCCUGCCUUGAUGGACCGAGCGAUAGGGCAGAAGCUCAGCUAAGGUUGAGGCUAUGAGAGCAUUGAAGUUGGAUUUGCUGGACAAGACGUUAAAAGAAAAAAUGUCAUUGAGAACAUUCAUCAAACACAUGGGGCGCGUCACUUCCGCCCCCACUCUCUCGCACCUCCACAGUCGCCGCCGCCACAGCGCAGACCAGCCGCCGCUGCCGCAGCACCAGCAAGAAGACCCGUAUUCGCUACUGAAAGAAGACCCAAUUCAAGUGAUCUCGGACCUCUGGGUCCGAGCCUUCUCCGACCGUCAAACCCGCAGACCUUUCACCAACCUCACCGGCUUCCUCUCCAAGCUCGACCUCUGGGUGCUGGCCUACCAGCGCACGUGCGCCCACGUGACCGGCUCUUUCCCUUCCCGCGCCGCCCUGCAAUCGAAAGUCCUCCACGACCUCCUCUCCCUGCGAAACGCCGUAGUUCGCGGCCGCUUCCUCUGGAACGCCAAGGCUGAGAUCUACAUUCGCAGCCCCCACGAAAAACCUUCCUCCAAAUUGCUCUCCAAACGUGCCACCGUGCAUUUUCAAGACCAUGUGGUUCAGGAAGUCCUCCUGCUGAUUCUCGAGCCCAUUUUGGAGGCUCGGUUCUCGUCGAAAUCGCACGCGUUUCGGCCCGGUCGGAACGCCCAUACGGCUAUUCGGACCAUUCGCAGUAAUUUUGCCGGGUACCUGUGGUACUUGAAAGGCGAUGUAAGUGGAAUUUUUGAUGGCGUUGAUGUGAAUUUUGUGAUGGGUUGUGUUGAGCAGGCUUUGAAGGAUAGGAAAGUUCUUUGUCUGAUCAGAUUGGGGCUUAAAACACCAAUAAAGAAUGAAUCACAAUGCGGUAGUGGAGGUGAAGACGAGAUUGCGAAGAAAAGGAAGAACAAGAAAGUGGGUCGUAGGAGGAACAAGACUCUAAAUGAGAAUGAGCCAAAGCCAGACCCAUAUUGGCUGAGAACUUUCUAUAGUUUCGCACCUGAGGAGGCUGCCAAGGUACCUAGCUACGGUUGUUGUGGUAUUCUUAGUCCUUUGCUCGCUAAUGUGUGCCUUAAUGAAUUGGAUCAUGUAAUGGAAGAGAAAAUUGUUGAGUUCUUUAGGCCUUCCGAGCUUGAUUCAAUUUGGAAAGAUUCUGGCGAUGAGGGUAGUCAUAACCCCGCUUGGCCAGAGUUUGUUCCAUCAAGUGGAAGGGACAGAACGAGGAAAAUGGAUUAUAUUCGCUAUGGGGGCCAUUUUUUAAUUGGGAUCCGGGGACCUAGAGAUGAGGCAGUGAGAAUCCGCAAAGAAAUAAUACAAUUUUGUGAGAGCAAAUAUGGCUUGAGGCUGGACAACUCAAAGGUGCAAAUAGAACACAUUAGUAGAGGAAUUCAGUUUUUGGACCAUAUAAUAUGUCUCCGGGUGAUACAUCCUACUCUUCAUUACACUAAAACUGGUGGUGAAAUUGUGAGUAAGAAAGGGGUUGGCACUUUGCUUUCAGUUACAGCUAGCUUACAACAAUGUGCUCGUCAAUUUAGAAAGCUCAAGCUCGUUAAGGGUGAUAAGGAUCCAGAGCCACUGCCUUGCACUCCAAUGCUGUACUCAGGUCAAGCUCAUACUAAUGCACAGAUGAACAAGUUCCUCGAGACCAUGGCAGAUUGGUACAGAUAUGCAGAUAACCGCAAAAAAGUUGUUGCAUUUUUUGCAUAUGUGAUACGGAGUUCUUUGGCUAAAUUGUAUGCUGCCAGGUAUCAACUCAAAUCACGUGCAAAGGUAUAUCAGAUAGCUUCUCGGGAUCUUAGUCAUCCAUUGAGGACAAGUAGCAACAGUUGUAUGCCUGAAUAUUCUGAUCUUUUGAAAAUGGCAUAUGUUGAUGCCAUUGAGGGGGUACAGUUUUCUCGCAUGUCCUUAAUACCGUCUUGUGAUUACACUCCAUUCCCAAGAAAUUGGUUUCCUGAACAUGAGAGGGUGUUGCGUGAAUAUAUCAGAUUACAAAACCCCAAAUUCUUCGGUGAGUUGCAGGGAUCAGUCAAACAUGACAGUUUAAAUGUGCCUCAAGAUGAGAUAUCUGAAAUUGUUUGGGACUGCAAGACACUAGGAAUUCACAGCUUCUUGCCUAAUCAUGGAAAAGAAACAACAAAUGCUUCAUUGCUACCACUGUAAAUUCAGUCAUGAAAUUGAAGAAACACAGUUUUAAUGAUGGUGAUCUCUUCAAGGAGGUCUCCUCAAAAGGAUGAAGGAGCAUUUCCAACCUGCCUAAUGCGUAUGGAGUUGAAGACAUGGUUAUUCCCAUCUUCCAGCUCAAAAGCCAGAGAUGGGGAAGCUAUGGACAAGGCCGGAAACGUUGCGACUUCUGGGCCAUAAACAAACAUCUGGCCAAUCUGCUUGUUCUUCUUCUGCUUCUUUUAAAGAUUUGUGACGGCUGUUUUAACCACUCAUAAAUCAUAAAUUGUUCUUUAU
Diospyros lotus (date-plum) is the source of this 2592-nucleotide RNA transcript. It is a transcript of the gene named nuclear intron maturase 1, mitochondrial, with no coding region annotated. The record is from RefSeq and is a predicted model, not a curated record. Lineage: Eukaryota; Viridiplantae; Streptophyta; Magnoliopsida; Ericales; Ebenaceae. The transcript has 2 exons.